UAUAAUUUGGCAUGUCACCCUGCAGCCCAAGACCGGUUACUCACUGAAGCUAAGCAGGGAUGAGCCUAGUCAGUACCUGGAUGGGAGACCACUAGGGAACACCAGGUUGCUGUUAUAA
This is a ribosomal RNA of Danio rerio (zebrafish), 118 nucleotides long. The record is from Ensembl. Lineage: Eukaryota; Metazoa; Chordata; Actinopteri; Cypriniformes; Danionidae.